Ribosomal RNA from Pteropus vampyrus (large flying fox), 119 nucleotides. Lineage: Eukaryota; Metazoa; Chordata; Mammalia; Chiroptera; Pteropodidae. The record is from Ensembl.
GUUUAUGUCUAUGCCACCUUGAACAAGCCCAAUCCCAUCUGAUCUCAGAAGCUAAGAAGGGUUGGGCCUUGUUAGUACUUUUAUGGGAGACCACCUAGGAAGACCAGUUGCUGUAGGCG